Gossypium arboreum is the source of this 481-nucleotide long non-coding RNA. RefSeq lists it as uncharacterized. The transcript has 2 exons. Lineage: Eukaryota; Viridiplantae; Streptophyta; Magnoliopsida; Malvales; Malvaceae. The record is from RefSeq and is a predicted model, not a curated record.
GGCUAAAUAAAAAUGGAACUAAAUUGGAAUAUCUAGAAUUCUCUUCAUUUCUCUUCAUAUUCAUCAGCUGAAAAACAGCCAUGGAGGAGGGUUCAAGCUGGUUUUCAUACUCUAGCUUCAUAGGCUCGUUAGCUCGCUUGUUUCGGACAAGCCGGAGUUGCACAUCACACUAUCCAAUUUUCGAUUAGUACUUUUGAUCUUGUGGAUAUAUGUGAAUAUGGCAUGUAUAGGCUAGUUUGAAAGAUGUGAGUUAUGUCACUUGAUAUCAUGAUUGUGGUAUAUUUUUGUGUAUAAAUAAGCCAUGAGAUUUGGCUUAUUUUGAUGUUAUGUUUUGGUUGAAUUGAAGUGUUCAAUUAUGGUAUGUUUUGGCAAGGAAUGAUGGAAUGAAAAUGUGUAAGUGAAGUUUUGUUAUGUAGUUGAUAUAUGAAUGGAUUAUACAUGGUAUUAAGUAGGUAAUUGAAUAUCAAGUUGAAUUGGUAUA